AAAAAAAUUAAUAAAAAAAAUUUUAAAAUCUUAAUGGGGGUUAAAGUAUUUUAAAAGAAAAAAUUAAUUAAUUUAUAGUGAAUUAGUAUUGUAAAAUAAAAUUGAAAUAAUUUAAAAAAUAAAUUGUUUAAAAGUAAAUUUAAUUCAUUGUAUCUUGUGUAUCAGAGUUUAUUUAAUAAAUGGUUUAUUUAAACUAUUCUCGAAUUUAAAAGAGAUAAUUAAUUAAUAAAGUUAUUGUAGCAUAAAUAUUUUAAAUAAUUAAUUGGAAAUGAAAUGUUAAUCGUUUUUAAAUAUAUCUAGUUUUUUUAGAAAAAAAUUUAAUUUUAAAAUUAUUAUUAAAAAUUAAUUAAUUAAUUAAUUAAUUUUUUGUUAAUUUUUAUAUUUUAAGGGAUAAGCUUUAAAUUAAAUUUGUAUAAAAAUAAUUUUUUAUUUGAAUAUUAUAUGAUUUAUAUUGUUAAAAAAAUUUAGUUUAUUAUAAAUAAUUUCAUUUUAAAUAAAAUUUAAUAAUUAAUUUACAUUUUUAUAAAAAAAAAAUAUUUAAUAUUGAAAUAUUUGUUAUAAUGAUAAAAUUAGUAUAUAAAAUUUAUUAAAAAUUAAAAUUUAAUAAAAUUAAAUAAAAGUAAUUCGGCAAAAAUUUAUAUUCACUUGUUUAUCAAAAACAUGUCUUUUUGAAAAUAAUAUAAAGUCUAAUCUGCCCACUGAUUUUAAAAUUAAAGGGCUGCAGUAUUUUGACUGUACAAAGGUAGCAUAAUCAUUAGUUAUUUAAUUGAUAACUUGUAUGAAAGAUUGGAUGAAAUAUAAACUGUCUCUUAUUUAAAAUAUAGAAUUUAAUUUUUUAGUUAAAAAGCUAAAAUAUAAUAAAAAGACGAGAAGACCCUAUAGAGUUUUAUAAAUAAAUUAAUUAAGAUUAUUUAUAAAUUGUAUAAAUUAAAAUUUAUUUAUUUAUUUUGUUGGGGUGAUAGAAAAAUUAGAAAAACUUUUUUUAUAAUUAUACAUAAAUAAGUGAUUAAAUGAUCCAGUACUAUUGAUUAUAAGAAUAAAUUACCUUAGGGAUAACAGCGUAAUUUUUUUUUUUAGUUCGAAUAAAAAAAAAAGUUUGCGACCUCGAUGUUGGAUUAAGAUAAAAUUUAAAUGCAGAAGUUUAAAGUUUUUGAUCUGUUCGAUCAUUAAAAUCUUACAUGAUCUGAGUUCAAACCGGUGUAAGCCAGGUUGGUUUCUAUCUUUUAUAAAUUAAAAUAUUUUAGUACGAAAGGAUUAAAUAUUUAAAUUAAAUUUAAUUAAAAUGAAUUUU
This 1291-nucleotide ribosomal RNA is filed under the name Hemichloridia euprepia. RNAcentral describes it as "16S ribosomal RNA". Lineage: Eukaryota; Metazoa; Arthropoda; Insecta; Lepidoptera; Erebidae. The record is from RNAcentral.